This 497-nucleotide ribosomal RNA is filed under the name uncultured bacterium. RNAcentral describes it as "partial 16S ribosomal RNA". It matches the Rfam family "Bacterial small subunit ribosomal RNA", at positions 28 to 507 of the family's 1533-position model. The record is from RNAcentral.
GAUGAACGCUGGCGGCGUGCCUAAUACAUGCAAGUCGAGCGAACAGACGAGGAGCUUGCUCCUCUGACGUUAGCGGCGGACGGGUGAGUAACACGUGGAUAACCUACCUAUAAGACUGGGAUAACUUCGGGAAACCGGAGCUAAUACCGGAUAAUAUAUUGAACCGCAUGGUUCAAUAGUGAAAGACGGUUUUGCUGUCACUUAUAGAUGGAUCCGCGCCGCAUUAGCUAGUUGGUAAGGUAACGGCUUACCAGGGCGACGAUGCGUAGCCGACCUGAGAGGGUGAUCGGCCACACUGGAACUGAGACACGGUCCAGACUCCUACGGGAGGCAGCAGUAGGGAAUCUUCCGCAAUGGGCGAAAGGCUGACGGAGCAACGCCGCGUGAGUGAUGAAGGUCUUCGGAUCGUAAAACUCUGUUAUUAGGGAAGAACAAAUGUGUAAGUAACUAUGCACGUCUUGACGGUACCUAAUCAGAAAGCCACGGCUAACUACGUG